AGAACAGGCAGAGGCAGUUCAGGGGUAUUCUGGUUGCCUUACCCAGCUCUGAAGUCUGUCAGCCUCUUCAGAUGUCACUUGCCAUGUGGUAAGGAAGUGUAGUCAGCAGCUGGUGCAGUGGGAAGAAGAGAAAGGAAGUUCCCCAAGACAAAAACAUCUCGGCAGACCGUGAUCAUGGGCUACAUUCUCCGUACCAGCUUCAUAGCUCCAGUGAGAAAAUAAAUUCCUGCAUCCAGGAGAUGUGGAGUAAGAGAUACAGCUGCCCUUGACCAUAUUUCUUACUUCCGAGAAGAUCGUAGCAGUAAUUCAGUCUUCAGGGAACACCAAGGCCUGUUUGAUUUUCCAAGUAUCAACAAGUGGAGUUGACAAGAGUGACAAGUGGUCAGAGCAAAGCAUUUCAUGAUGACUGUAACGUGCCUGUGUCAGCAGCGACUGCUUACAGUGAGAUUCACAUGACCAUCGUUUAUGACAUAGGAAGAAUAAAAGGAGAGAGAGAGAGAAAGAUAGGUAGUUGAUCAAAAUGAAGAAUUGGAUUUGGAAAGCAACUUCGAAUAGUCUCUGCUUAUAUUUCUGAGAUUAAGGCAAACAGUCUCAAGAAUCUCAUCCAGGAUACCUCAUCACAGGCUGGAGUGCAGUGUCAUGAGCUUGGCUCACUACAGCCUCCAUCUUCUGUGCUUAAGGAUCCUUCCCUCUCAACCUCCAAGGUAGCUGAGACUACAGGCAACAUUCGAAACCCAGGUGCCACUCCUUCAGGAAGGUACCAUCAAGCUCCAAGGACUCAUCCUCUUUCUCCUUCCCCACUACCUAGUCAUUAGAGCGUCAGCAUCCACUUCCUGAAAGGAAGAUGCCUGUUUUUCACAUAUCCCAGAAAGCCUCAUUUUAGGACAGCAUUUAGCAGAGUGUAUUCAGGAUCCCACUAACCUUUUCGGAAGACAUGACUUCCAGAUGAUAUAAGGCAAGAAUAAGAAAUUUCAGUGACAGGGAACAGAAAUCAUAUUUCUGCAUUCAGGAUCAUGUUUUCUUGGCUCCAUCAGGAACUGUGCAGGACUGUGCACUCUGUUGAUACUCACAUGGUGGAAUUAUAUUGCCCUUGGCCAACCCUAAAGCCAUCAAGAUAGCAGCAACUACUCUAUCAUUACUGUACCACCACCUGUAUGGAUCUCGUUGCCCAUAUGAAACUGAGUAAGGAACAAUGUGCAUCACACUCACAGAGAAAGAUGGACAAGUUUGGAAUAAUUCACUGUCGAAGUCUUCUUGAGCUGAGCAGUCAUGUGAGCUUGGAAGAUGAUCCCUCUCCAGCUGAUCCUUCAGCUCAGGCCAUCAUCUACAUCUGGAUUCCUGACCCGGAGAAACUAUGAGUAAUGUGUGCUGCUUUUGAGCCACUAAGCUACAUGGUAAUAGGCUAUGCUUCAAUAAACAAUAAUACACUUGAUGAUAAAAAAAAAAAAAAA
Molecule: long non-coding RNA, 1451 nt
Filed under: Homo sapiens (human)
Lineage: Eukaryota; Metazoa; Chordata; Mammalia; Primates; Hominidae
Description: Prader-Willi region non-protein coding RNA 1 (PWRN1)
Source: RNAcentral